Molecule: non-coding RNA, 154 nt
Organism: Amborella trichopoda
Lineage: Eukaryota; Viridiplantae; Streptophyta; Magnoliopsida; Amborellales; Amborellaceae
Source: Rfam
CCCACACCCAUGUGUGUAGAACCUCAAAGGAUCACCAUUAAAUUUGGCACAGAUCUCUAUAAAAGUUAUCACAUGUGUGUGGGACUUAACUUUUAUAUAGAUCUGUGCCAAAUUUAAUGGUGAUCUUUUGGGGUCCUACACACAUGGGUGUGAG